AUGAACAGCACGACUAGAAAUACUAACCAUGAUGCUCGGCUUGUUGGCCAUGUUCAUUUGAACAAGACAUUGUAGAAAAGAUACGCAUGGCAUAAAUAACAAAAGUGACCAUGGAAUUAAUGCCUAAUUUUCGUGUUAAGUAUGGAUAAGUGGGUUUAAGAAGGGUGAUUAUAAGUAAGAAUUGGUAUAUCGAAAGUCUAUGAUAUGCCUAUAAUGAUACGUCGACCUUUUUAUGAAUAUGAAUGUAAGUAGAAGAAACGUUAGUGAUGAUAUGUGUUAAGAGCUAGUAUUAUAAAGUAAAAGACACUAAUAAGAGCUCUGGAGCAUAGUCUAACAUAAGUAUAACUAUGAAAGUAAUAUAAGUAAUAUGAGGGCAUAGGAGCGAUGUGUACAAUUACGUUCAUGUAUGAAUAACACCUUUGCCAAGAUCCCGAAUGCGUUUAGGUGGUAGUAAGUAUUGUGAAUGAAGCAACCUGAAAGGGGUAAGAGUAGAAUCGGUCUAGUUUGAAUGAGAAAGGUUUCGGGGACGAAACCUUCUUUAAGGGGGGUAGACUUGUAACACCCCAAAAUUCGAAUUAUUAAAUUCGUUAGCAUGUUGCCAUGUUUAAUAAAACGAGAUACAAUAACUAGGUUAAUAAACCUAGUUAAAUGCCUAUUAGAUAAGCUAAAUGAUGAAACUUGUGGCAUAUAUGAUAGUAAGUUAAACUUGAGGGACUUGGAGUGCCAAACUUGGAAGUUUGGUUUACUAAAACAAAAAUCACACACACACCCACACAAGGGUGCGUGAGAUCGGGCAGGAGAAAAGAAAAAGGGGUGAAACCCUAGUUCUCAAGAAAGCUUCAAAUUGACAAGGAAAUUAGGCUCAAAUCCGAUGCAUGAACUCGUUUUCUUGAUGAUCUAGCCCUAACAAACAUGUGGUAAGUUGUAUUUUAUGAUUUGAUGAUCUUGCUAUGAAGUGGGUUAUGGUCAAUCCAUGAAAUUGUAUGAAAUU
This 991-nucleotide long non-coding RNA is filed under the name Helianthus annuus (common sunflower). The record is from RNAcentral. Lineage: Eukaryota; Viridiplantae; Streptophyta; Magnoliopsida; Asterales; Asteraceae.